RNAcentral lists this ribosomal RNA (467 nucleotides) under uncultured bacterium. RNAcentral describes it as "partial 16S ribosomal RNA". It matches the Rfam family "Bacterial small subunit ribosomal RNA", at positions 29 to 507 of the family's 1533-position model. The record is from RNAcentral.
AUGAACGCUGGCGGCGUGCUUCACACAUGCAAGUCGAACGGAAAGGCCCUGCUUUUGUGGGGUGCUCGAGUGGCGAACGGGUGAGUAACACGUGAGUAACCUGCCCUUGACUUUGGGAUAACUUCAGGAAACUGGGGCUAAUACCGGAUAGGAGCUCCUGCUGCAUGGUGGGGGUUGGAAAGUUUCGGCGGUUGGGGAUGGACUCGCGGCUUAUCAGCUUGUUGGUGGGGUAGUGGCUUACCAAGGCUUUGACGGGUAGCCGGCCUGAGAGGGUGACCGGCCACAUUGGGACUGAGAUACGGCCCAGACUCCUACGGGAGGCAGCAGUGGGGAAUAUUGCACAAUGGGCGGAAGCCUGAUGCAGCAACGCCGCGUGCGGGAUGACGGCCUUCGGGUUGUAAACCGCUUUCGCCUGUGACGAAGCGUGAGUGACGGUAAUGGGUAAAGAAGCACCGGCUAACUACGUG